UGCAUGUUCCCACUCACUCCUCCUAUCCAGUGGCCUGCAUGUUCCCACUCACUCCUCCUAUCCAGUGGCCUGCAUGUUCCCACUCACUCCUCCUAUCCAGUGGCCUGCAUGUUCCCACUCACUCCUCCUAUCAGAUGGCCUGCAUGUUCCCACUCACUCCUCCUAUCCAAUGGCCUGCAUGUUCCCACUCACUCCUCCUAUCCAAUGGCCUGCACGUUCCCACUCACUCCUCCUAUCAGAUGGCCUGCACGUUCCCACUCACUCCUCCUAUCAGAUGGCCUGCAUGUUCCCAUCACUCCUCCUAUCAGAUGGCCUGCACGUUCCCACUCACUCCUCCUAUCAGAUGGCCUGCACGUUCCCACUCACUCCUCCUAUCCA
Molecule: long non-coding RNA, 378 nt
Organism: Oncorhynchus tshawytscha (Chinook salmon)
Lineage: Eukaryota; Metazoa; Chordata; Actinopteri; Salmoniformes; Salmonidae
Source: Ensembl